Bos taurus (domestic cattle) is the source of this 1255-nucleotide long non-coding RNA. The record is from Ensembl. Lineage: Eukaryota; Metazoa; Chordata; Mammalia; Artiodactyla; Bovidae.
ACAGAUUAACUAGAGGAUGCCUAAAGGAGGCCUAGGGCAGAAUCAGACAUAAUGAAUAGCAUCUAUUUUAUCAUCAUUAUUAUUGCUGUUGUUAUUCAGCUUGGAACAUCCAAGCUGGAUAUAGCUUGACUCUAGAAGCAUAAUUUUCAACCUUGGCUUUUCUCUGGAAUUUCCUAAGGAAUGCUAAAAUCUUGAGCCUGGGCCCCACCCCUGAGAUUCUGACACAAUCAUCCAGGGGAGGGGGCCAGGUCUUGAUUAGUUUAAAAGCUCCCAGCUGGGGGGUCUGAUGUGCCGCCAAGGCUGAGGACCAGAGCAGUAGUUCUCAAAGUGUCGUCCCAGCAGCAGGAGCAUCAGCAGCAUUGAGAGCUCGUUAGAAAUGCAGAUGCUCGGCCCUCCUGAGUCAUAUCUCAGGGUGUGGAGCCCAGUGACCUGUGUUUUAAGGAGCCUGCCUGUGGAUUUGAAUACCCUAUUGGGUUUGAGAUUUGCUGUGGUAGGGAAUAUGCCCUCAUUCACGUCAUUUUCCUUGGUGUUUAAGAGCACUAAAAGGGAUGUAUGUGUAUGCGUGCUCAGUCGUGUCUGACUCUUUGCAAUCCCAUGGACUGUAGCCCACCAGGCUCUUCUGUCCAUGGAGCUUUCCAGGUGCCUCCUGCAAGACCUUCCCAAGUCAGCCCACAAGUUGCCACUGUGACCCUUAAGCUGGGGGAGAUGCGUCCUUCCUGCUGCACCAGCAGCACGUGCUUACCAUUCUCAGUGUGUUCACAUACCUGCCAUUCUCCAUGGCUGGAGGGUGAGCAACCCAAGUGCAGGGCACAUUUACUCACCUAUAUCUUUCUAUAAGCACUUGGCACUGUAUAGGUGCUUGUACUGUGUUGAAUAGUGUCCCCUCAAAUUCAUGUCCACCUGGGACCUCAGAAUGUGACUUUACUUGAAAAUAAAGUCUUUGCAGAUAUAAAUUAGUUGAGGUCAUGCUGCAUUAGAGUGGGUUCCUAAUUCUUAUAACUAGUGACCUUAUAAGAAUAAGGAAGGACACAUGGAGAAACAGACACACAGAGAAGAUGGCAGAGGUAGAGGCUAGAGUUGGGCAGCUAUGAGUCCAGGAACACCAAGGACUGCUGGCAUCUACCAGCUGCUAGGAGAGAGGCAAGCAAGGACCCUUCCCUCCAACUUCCACAGGGACCGUGGCCCCUGCCGAUAUCUUGGUUUUGGACUUCUGGCCUCCCGGACUGUGAGGGAAUAAAGCGCUGUUGUUUUUAAU